ACGGCCCAGACUCCUACGGGAGGCAGCAGUGGGGGAAUAUUGGACAAUGGGCGCAAGCCUGAUCCAGCCACGCCGCGUGAGUGAUGAAGGCCUUCGGGUCGUAAAGCUCUGUGGGGAGGGGACGAACGGCGCCAUGAAGAGUGGCGAUUGACGGUACCUCCUUAGCAAGCACCGGCUAACUUCGUGCCAGCAGCCGCGGUAAUACGAAGGGUGCAAACGUUGCUCGGAAUCAUUGGGCGUAAAGCGCACGUAGGCGGCUUUCUAAGUCGGAUGUGAAAUCCCUCGGCUUAACCGAGGACGUGCAUCCGAAACUGGGAGGCUUGAGUAUGGAAGAGGGUCGCAGAAUUCCCGGUGUAGAGGUGAAAUUCGUAGAUAUCGGGAGGAAUACCAGUGGCGAAGG
This 400-nucleotide ribosomal RNA is filed under the name uncultured bacterium. Its description in RNAcentral is "bacterial SSU rRNA". It matches the Rfam family "Bacterial small subunit ribosomal RNA", at positions 326 to 721 of the family's 1533-position model. The record is from RNAcentral.